RNAcentral lists this ribosomal RNA (498 nucleotides) under uncultured bacterium. Its description in RNAcentral is "partial 16S ribosomal RNA". It matches the Rfam family "Bacterial small subunit ribosomal RNA", at positions 28 to 507 of the family's 1533-position model. The record is from RNAcentral.
GAUGAACGCUGGCGGCGUGCCUAAUACAUGCAAGUCGAGCGAACAGACGAGGAGCUUGCUCCUCUGACGUUAGCGGCGGACGGGUGAGUAACACGUGGAUAACCUACCUAUAAGACUGGGAUAACUUCGGGAAACCGGAGCUAAUACCGGAUAAUAUAUUGAACCGCAUGGUUCAGUAGUGAAAGACGGUUUUGCUGUCACUUAUAGAUGGAUCCGCGCCGCAUUAGCUAGUUGGUAAGGUAACGGCUUACCAAGGCAACGAUGCGUAGCCGACCUGAGAGGGGGGGUCGCCAACAGGGGAAUGGAGAACCGGCCCAGACUCCUACGGGAGGCAGCAGUGGGAAUUCUUCAGAAAUGGGGAAAGCCCUUAGGGAGCACCGCCGGGGGGUUGAGGAAGGUCUUGGGAGCGAAAAACUCUGUUAUAGGGGAAGAAAAAAGGUGUAAGUAACUAUGCACGUCUUGACGGUACCUAAUAAGAAAGCCAGGGCAAGCUACGUC